ACCCACGUGGUGCCCUCACUGCCUCACUGACUUCCUCGAACACAUGGAUUUCACCAUCCCCACUUCCUCUUCUUCAAUUUCUGACCACCCCAAUUCCUCUUCUUCCCCUUCAGAUUCCGAUCCAUCAUCCUUCGUCGUCGUCGACCCUAUUCCGAUCACUUCCGAUGACAAUUACCUCCUUAACAGCCCUCAAUUUCUCCGUCUUUUCCAGCAGCUUGCAGAUUCGUCCGAUUCUGAUUUCGUCCCCUCUGUGCCCUUCAACCCAUUUACUCCGAUCAAG
This 280-nucleotide unclassified non-coding RNA is filed under the name Hevea brasiliensis (rubber tree). Lineage: Eukaryota; Viridiplantae; Streptophyta; Magnoliopsida; Malpighiales; Euphorbiaceae. The record is from RNAcentral.